GACGAACGCUGGCGGCGUGCUUAACACAUGCAAGUCGAACGGAAAGGCCCUGCUUUUGUGGGGUGCUCGAGUGGCGAACGGGUGAGUAACACGUGAGUAACCUGCCCUUGACUUUGGGAUAACUUCAGGAAACUGGGGCUAAUACCGGAUAGGAGCUCCUGCUGCAUGGUGGGGGUUGGAAAGUUUCGGCGGUUGGGGAUGGACUCGCGGCUUAUCAGCUUGUUGGUGGGGUAGUGGCUUACCAAGGCUUUGACGGGUAGCCGGCCUGAGAGGGUGACCGGCCACAUUGGGACUGAGAUACGGCCCAGAAUCCUACGGGAGGCAGCAGUGGGGAAUAUUGCACAAUGGGCGGAAGCCUGAUGCAGCAACGCCGCGUGCGGGAUGACGGCCUUCGGGGUGUAAACCGAUUUCGACUGUGACGAAGCGUGAGUGACGGUAAUGGGUAAAGAAGCACCGGCUAACUACGUG
RNAcentral lists this ribosomal RNA (468 nucleotides) under uncultured bacterium. RNAcentral's name for it is "partial 16S ribosomal RNA". It matches the Rfam family "Bacterial small subunit ribosomal RNA", at positions 28 to 507 of the family's 1533-position model. The record is from RNAcentral.